Molecule: ribosomal RNA, 286 nt
Filed under: uncultured bacterium
Lineage: Bacteria
Description: partial 16S ribosomal RNA
Rfam family: Bacterial small subunit ribosomal RNA
Source: RNAcentral
GAUUAACGCUAGCGGCAGGCCUAAUACAUGCAAGUUGAACGGGAUUAAGUAGCAAUACUUAUGAGAGUAGCGCACGGGUGCGUAACGCGUAUGCAAUCUACCUUUAACUGGGGAAUAGCCCAAAGAAAUUUGGAUUAAUACCGCAUAAUAUAAUUGAAUGGCAUCAUUUGAUUAUCAAAACUACGGUGGUUAAGAUGAGCAUGCGUGACAUUAGCUAGUUGGGAGGUAAUGGCUCACCAAGGCUCCGAUGUCGUAGGGGGUCGUGAGGAGGAUGACUCCCCCACCA